Molecule: long non-coding RNA, 1221 nt
Organism: Magallana angulata
Lineage: Eukaryota; Metazoa; Mollusca; Bivalvia; Ostreida; Ostreidae
Exons: 3
Source: RefSeq, a predicted model, not a curated record
CAGGACAGAUAAGGCAACACAUCGUUUUGAUAUGCUAAUGAAGGGAUAAUGAGUUAUGACGUCAUAAUAUACGCCCCGCCUCUGUAUUACCAUAUAUAGAACAUAUACCGAAAACAGCAGUUUAAGCAUAAAAUACGACUGAUUUAAUACUUCAUAAGCAAAAUAUAACUACGAAUCACUCAUGUGUGUUUUUAUAAGUUUACAACAAUCAGAAUAUACGAAGAAUUUCCAUAACGCAUCUGUCGUAUGGGUGUGAAUCUGCGUCCCAAAAGCGCUUGUCAGACGAUGUAAACACGUGUAGCUGGUAUUCCCGAUGAUGGCGAUCUUUUGAUGAUUUAUCAGAGUAAUUUGAAAAGUGUCACACUGAUUUAAAAAAAAGGCUGGAAAAAAAUCUGGUACCUGCUUUGUCUUGAGAUUUACAUAAAUGAUGUUCUUAAUGGUGAUCAUUUACCAGCAUCCUUAUCCUGGUGUCAUAUACAAGAUGAAAUGAUGGAAAGAAAAACCUGAACUUUAGGAACAGGAAGACUGUGUUUUUGAAGAGAGAAGAGGACCAGAACUAAGAAGUCAUACAAUAAACACAUUGACAUCAUAAAAAGAAAUUGCAAUUUUGAGUUUGCAUGCAUAUGUCAGGUUUAAAUGUUGUCACGGAAUUUUUUUUUCAGAAAGUCCCUUUAUCUUCUUGAAUUAAUAAAACAAAUGAACCAAUUAUAAUUGUUUCUAUAUAUAUAAUUUUGUUUGAGAAGUGGAAAGGGGAUGGUAUGUAAAUGGGCGGGAGAGAGAGUCUCUCACAUAGGAGAAUUCAGACUUAUUUAAAUUCAAUAUAUUGAUGUGAACCAAAAAUGGCUUUUGAUCGCCUUGUUGCAGGAAUUACACACUCUCUUUCCUUUCUCGGUAAUGAGAAAUGAGCGUUUAGAAUUUAUUUUGUGAAUGAAUAGAUAUGCUAACCCUCCCCCUCUCCUUAAUCUUAAUCAUUCUGCAUGUGUUGAAUAAAAAUAAAAGUCAAUUUUAAUGAGUGUUUAAAUUCGAAAUUACAAGUCUAACAUGUGUAAUACAAAGGUGAAUACUGUUGAUUGCUUAUGGGGGAUGGGAAAAGGCCUCAUACAUGGGCAGAUCUACAUGUAUAGUCCCCGUGGCAAAUUCUAAUUUAAUUCACAAUUUACAUAGUAAAACACCAUGGUACCUGGCCCCUGGCAAACAGAAUAAAGUUACCCCUUUGAACCC